RNAcentral lists this ribosomal RNA (301 nucleotides) under uncultured bacterium. RNAcentral's name for it is "partial 16S ribosomal RNA". It matches the Rfam family "Bacterial small subunit ribosomal RNA", at positions 509 to 807 of the family's 1533-position model. The record is from RNAcentral.
CAGCAGCCACGGGAAUACGGAGGGUGCAAGCGUUAUCCGGAUUUAUUGGGUUUAAAGGGUCCGUAGGCGGACUUAUAAGUCAGUGGUGAAAGCCUGUCGCUUAACGAUAGAACUGCCAUUGAUACUGUAAGUCUUGAGUAUAUUUGAGGUAGCUGGAAUAAGUAGUGUAGCGGUGAAAUGCAUAGAUAUUACUUAGAACACCAAUUGCGAAGGCAGGUUACCAAGAUAUAACUGACGCUGAGGGACGAAAGCGUGGGUAGCGAACAGGAUUAGAUACCCCGGUAGUCCCUGUCUCUUAUAC